Long non-coding RNA from Sander lucioperca (pikeperch), 174 nucleotides. RefSeq lists it as uncharacterized. The record is from RefSeq and is a predicted model, not a curated record. Lineage: Eukaryota; Metazoa; Chordata; Actinopteri; Perciformes; Percidae. The transcript is spliced from 3 exons.
CAGUUACCACACCUUUGCUCAGGAGAAGACUGCAACUAGUGUUGCGACCACCACGCGCAAGUAUAAAUAGUUAUGACGCUCCCAUGAUGUCACACUGUCGCGCGACAGGUCGGGAAUAGCGAGUAUACUGAACUGAGUUUGCAUGGUCUACCACUUCGGUGGGAUCCUUUGAUA